CCUAGAGUUUGAUCAUGGYUCAGGACGAACGCUGGCGGCGUGCCUAAUACAUGCAAGUCGAACGAACUCUGGUAUUGAUUGGUGCKUGCAUCAUGAUUUACAUUUGAGUGAGUGGCGAACUGGUGAGUAACACGUGGGAAACCUGCCCAGAAGCGGGGGAUAACACCUGGAAACAGAUGCUAAUACCGCAUAACAACUUGGACCGCAUGGUCCGAGUUUGAAAGAUGGCUUCGGCUAUCACUUUUGGAUGGUCCCGCGGCGUAUUAGCUAGAUGGUGRGGUAACGGCUCACCAUGGCAAUGAUACGUAGCCGACCUGAGAGGGUAAUCGGCCACAUUGGGACUGAGACACGGCCCAAACUCCUACGGGAGGCAGCAGUAGGGAAUCUUCCACAAUGGACGAAAGUCUGAUGGAGCAACGCCGCGUGAGUGAAGAAGGGUUUCGGCUCGUAAAACUCUGUUGUUAAAGAAGAACAUAUCUGAGAGUAACUGUUCAGGUAUUGACGGUAUUUAACCAGAAAGCCACGGCUAACUACGUGCCAGCAGCCGCGGUAAUACGUAGGUGGCAAGCGUUGUCCGGAUUUAUUGGGCGUAAAGCGAGCGCAGGCGGUUUUUUAAGUCUGAUGUGAAAGCCUUCGGCUCAACCGAAGAAGUGCAUCGGAAACUGGGAAACUUGAGUGCAGAAGAGGACAGUGGAACUCCAUGUGUAGCGGUGAAAUGCGUAGAUAUAUGGAAGAACACCAGUGGCGAAGGCGGCUGUCUKGUCUGUAACGACGYGWGGYYKAMCUGCCCYYYYUA
Molecule: ribosomal RNA, 796 nt
Filed under: bacterium
Lineage: Bacteria
Description: bacterial SSU rRNA
Source: RNAcentral